RNAcentral lists this ribosomal RNA (481 nucleotides) under uncultured bacterium. RNAcentral describes it as "partial 16S ribosomal RNA". It matches the Rfam family "Bacterial small subunit ribosomal RNA", at positions 28 to 507 of the family's 1533-position model. The record is from RNAcentral.
GAUGAACGCUGGCGGCGUGCUUAACACAUGCAAGUCGAACGAAGCACUUUAUUUGAUUUCCUUCGGGACUGAUUAUUUUGUGACUGAGUGGCGGACGGGUGAGUAACGCGUGGGUAACCUGCCUUGUACAGGGGGAUAACAGUUGGAAACGGCUGCUAAUACCGCAUAAGCGCACGGCAUCGCAUGAUGCAGUGUGAAAAACUCCGGUGGUAUAAGAUGGACCCGCGUUGGAUUAGCUAGUGGGUGAGGUAACGGCCCACCAAGGCGACGAUCCAUAGCCGACCUGAGAGGGUGACCGGCCACAUUGGGACUGAGACACGGCCCAAACUCCUACGGGAGGCAGCAGUGGGGAAUAUUGCACAAUGGGCGAAAGCCUGAUGCAGCGACGCCGCGUGAGCGAAGAAGUAUUUCGGUAUGUAAAGCUCUAUCAGCAGGGAAGAUAAUGACGGUACCUGACGAAGAAGCACCGGCUAAAUACGUG